Molecule: long non-coding RNA, 445 nt
Filed under: Marmota monax (woodchuck)
Lineage: Eukaryota; Metazoa; Chordata; Mammalia; Rodentia; Sciuridae
Source: RNAcentral
GCUCUGCCCCUCCGCNAAAAAUAGAUCUUACUCUUUAAAUUUAUAAAAUUGGAUAAUAUAUGUAGAUUAUGUUUCAGUUAGAAAUUUGCCAACAUAACUGGGAACCUAUAAUACAAUAGAACCACCUUGAGUAAUUUUUAAAAUUCAAUUUGUAAUGGUUUAUCAUAAGAAAAAUUGAAAAGCAUUUAGCUAUUUCCUAGUAAGGACCAAUGCCAUAUAAAAUCUCUUGUUAUAAUUAUAACUUUUUUCCUUAAGGACAGCAAAUUAAUUAGAAAUCAAAACUUACUUACUUUCAAAGGAAGUAUAAAUGGAAUGGCUUCUUCCAUAAAAGCAAUAAUAUGGAAACUUUGAGAACAAUUAUAUCUUAUGCUUUUGAAAUGUUUUCUGGUGAGUAAAUUGAAUACAACAAUAAACAAAACAGAUUUUUUAUUAUUUAUUUUUUAUU